AUUUCACUGACUGCCAACCUGCAGAAUGGGUCUCACCUGUGGUCUUCCAUGCCUUGAUCUCAGAAUAGACUGGAUUUUCUUUUGGAUCAGCUGGCAUUUCUGAGGAGAAGGAGCAGUAGCAGCACCAGCAUCUUAAAUAUACAGCAACCCACUCUUAACCAGGCGCCGAAGACGUGGAUGUCGAUUAAGGCAGCCCCCUGCACCUCUCCCCUGCACCUCUCUGAUUCAGAGUUAAAUGCGGAAGAAACAUUUCAUUUGAAGGCAUUCAGUUAUGUACAACUGACUAGGUAUCCC
This is a long non-coding RNA of Oncorhynchus keta (chum salmon), 294 nucleotides long. RefSeq lists it as uncharacterized. The transcript is spliced from 3 exons. The record is from RefSeq and is a predicted model, not a curated record. Lineage: Eukaryota; Metazoa; Chordata; Actinopteri; Salmoniformes; Salmonidae.